GACGAACGCUGGCGGCGUGCUUAACACAUGCAAGUCGAACGGAAAGGCCCUGCUUCUGUGGGGUGCUCGAGUGGCGAACGGGUGAGUAACACGUGAGUAACCUGCCCUUGACUUUGGGAUAACUUCAGGAAACUGGGGCUAAUACCGGAUAGGAGCUCCUGCUGCAUGGUGAGGGUUGGAAAGUUUCGGCGGUUGGGGAUGGACUCGCGGCUUAUCAGCUUGUUGGUGGGGUAGUGGCUUACCAAGGCUUUGACGGGUAGCCGGCCUGAGAGGGUGACCGGCCACAUUGGGACUGAGAUACGGCCCAGACUCCUACGGGAGGCAGCAGUGGGGAAUAUUGCACAAUGGGCGGAAGCCUGAUGCAGCAACGCCGCGUGCGGGAUGACGGCCUUCGGGUUGUAAACCGCUUUCGCCUGUGACGAAGCGUGAGUGACGGUAAUGGGUAAAGAAGCACCGGCUAACUACGUG
This 468-nucleotide ribosomal RNA is filed under the name uncultured bacterium. Its description in RNAcentral is "partial 16S ribosomal RNA". It matches the Rfam family "Bacterial small subunit ribosomal RNA", at positions 28 to 507 of the family's 1533-position model. The record is from RNAcentral.